GCAGUCGAGCGGACAGAAGGGAGCUUGCUCCCGGAUGUUAGCGGCGGACGGGUGAGUAACACGUGGGUAACCUGCCUGUAAGACUGGGAUAACUCCGGGAAACCGGAGCUAAUACCGGAUAGUUCCUUGAACCGCAUGGUUCAAGGAUGAAAGACGGUUUCGGCUGUCACUUACAGAUGGACCCGCGGCGCAUUAGCUAGUUGGUGGGGUAAUGGCUCACCAAGGCGACGAUGCGUAGCCGACCUGAGAGGGUGAUCGGCCACACUGGGACUGAGACACGGCCCAGACUCCUACGGGAGGCAGCAGUAGGGAAUCUUCCGCAAUGGACGAAAGUCUGACGGAGCAACGCCGCGUGAGUGAUGAAGGUUUUCGGAUCGUAAAGCUCUGUUGUUAGGGAAGAACAAGUGCGAGAGUAACUGCUCGCACCUUGACGGUACCUAACCAGAAAGCCACGGCUAACUACG
RNAcentral lists this ribosomal RNA (464 nucleotides) under Bacillus safensis. Its description in RNAcentral is "bacterial SSU rRNA". It matches the Rfam family "Bacterial small subunit ribosomal RNA", at positions 57 to 505 of the family's 1533-position model. Lineage: Bacteria; Bacillati; Bacillota; Bacilli; Caryophanales; Bacillaceae. The record is from RNAcentral.